This 376-nucleotide ribosomal RNA is filed under the name uncultured bacterium. Its description in RNAcentral is "bacterial SSU rRNA". It matches the Rfam family "Bacterial small subunit ribosomal RNA", at positions 523 to 898 of the family's 1533-position model. The record is from RNAcentral.
ACACGUAGGGGGCGAGCGUUGUCCGGAAUUACUGGGCGUAAAGGGUGCGUAGGCGGCCCAAUAAGUCAGGUGUGAAAUACCGUGGCUCAACUGCGGUAUUGCACAUGAAACUGUUGGGCUUGAGUGCAGGAGAGGGAAGUGGAAUUCCUAGUGUAGCGGUGAAAUGCGUAGAGAUUAGGAAGAACACCAGUGGCGAAGGCGGCUUCCUGGCCUGCAACUGACGUUGAUGCACGAAAGCGUGGGGAGCAAACAGGAUUAGAUACCCUGGUAGUCCACGCUGUAAACGAUGGAUACUAGGUGUAGGGUGUGAACAGCAUUCUGUGCCGCAGUUAACGCAUUAAGUAUCCCGCCUGGGGAGUACGGCCGCAAGGCUGAA